RNAcentral lists this ribosomal RNA (506 nucleotides) under uncultured bacterium. RNAcentral's name for it is "partial 16S ribosomal RNA". It matches the Rfam family "Bacterial small subunit ribosomal RNA", at positions 28 to 523 of the family's 1533-position model. The record is from RNAcentral.
GAUGAACGCUAGCUACAGGCUUAACACAUGCAAGUCGAGGGGUAACAAGAGGAAAGCUUGCUUUCCUUGUUGACGACCGGCGCACGGGUGAGUAACGCGUAUCCAACCUGCCUAUAACUAGGGAAUAACCUUGCGAAAGUAAGACUAAUACCCAAUGAUUUCCUUUGAUGACAUCAGAUUAGGAAUAAAGAUUUAUCGGUUAUAGAUGGGGAUGCGUCUGAUUAGCUUGUUGGCGGGGUAACGGCCCACCAAGGCAACGAUCAGUAGGGGUUCUGGAAGGAAGGUCCCCCACAUUGGAACUGAGACACGGUCCAAACUCCUACGGGAGGCAGCAGUGAGGAAUAUUGGUCAAUGGGCGGAAGCCUGAACCAGCCAAGUAGCGUGCAGGAUGACGGCCCUAUGGGUUGUAAACUGCUUUUAUACAGGAAUAAAGUUAGCCACGUGUGGUUAUUUGUAGGUACUGUAUGAAUAAGGACCGGCUAAUUCCGUGCCAGCCGCCGCCGUAA